ACAAAGAUAAAAACGCAACGUGCAUCCGUCAGGAUGUGCCAGAGCCGGAAGGUAGCCCGGCCGUCCUGCAAAAACAGGGUAAGUAACCUGCCCCUCCUGGGUUGUCCGUUCUUUGUCCAUA
This 121-nucleotide non-coding RNA is filed under the name uncultured Blautia sp. Its description in RNAcentral is "yjdF RNA". It matches the Rfam family "azaaromatic riboswitch aptamer (yjdF RNA)", at positions 5 to 92 of the family's 101-position model. The record is from RNAcentral. Lineage: Bacteria; Bacillati; Bacillota; Clostridia; Lachnospirales; Lachnospiraceae.